GACGAACGCUGGCGGCGGGCUUAACACAUGCAAGUCGAACGGAAGGGCCCUGCUUGCGCGGGGAGCUCGCGUGGCGCACGGGUGUGUAGCACAUGAGUAUCCUGGGCAGGGGGUGGGGAUAACUGCAGGAGAGUGGGGAUACUACAUACGAGCAGAGGGUGAAGGUGGGGGGUGGUUGGACAGUUUCGGCGGUUGUGGAUGGACGCUCGGCUUGUCAGCUGGUGGGGGGGGUAGUGGCUAAGCAGGCCUUUGACAGGUGGCCCGCCUUAGAGGUUGACCGGCCACAUUGCGACUGCGAUACGGCCCAGACUCCUACGGGAGGCAGCAGUGGGGAAUCUUGCCCAAUGGGCGGAAGCCUGAUGCAGCAACGCCGCGUUCGGGAUGACGGCCUUCUGGUUGUAAACCGCUUUCGCCUGUGACGAAGCGUGAGUGACGGUAAUGGGUAAAGAAGCACCGGCUAACUACGUG
Molecule: ribosomal RNA, 468 nt
Filed under: uncultured bacterium
Lineage: Bacteria
Description: partial 16S ribosomal RNA
Rfam family: Bacterial small subunit ribosomal RNA
Source: RNAcentral